Molecule: ribosomal RNA, 326 nt
Filed under: uncultured Glomus
Lineage: Eukaryota; Fungi; Glomeromycota; Glomeromycetes; Glomerales; Glomeraceae
Description: partial 18S ribosomal RNA
Source: RNAcentral
CGUAAGGCGCCGAAUGAGUCAUUAAAAAUUAACAUCAUCCGAUCCCUAGUCGGCAUAGUUUAUGGUUAAGACUACGACGGUAUCUGAUCGUCUUCGAUCCCCUAACUUUCGUUCUUGAUUAAUGAAAACAUCCUUGGCAAAUGCUUUUCGCAGUAGUUAGUCUUCAAUAAAUCCAAGAAUUUCACCUCUGACAAUUGAAUACUAAUGCCCCCAACUAUCCCUAUUAAUCAUUACGUCAAUCCUAAGAAACCAACAAAAUAGGAUCGAACGUCCUAUUUCAUUAUUCCAUGCUAAUGUAUUCAAGCGUUAGCUUGCUUUAAACACUU